Molecule: long non-coding RNA, 576 nt
Filed under: Phoenix dactylifera (date palm)
Lineage: Eukaryota; Viridiplantae; Streptophyta; Magnoliopsida; Arecales; Arecaceae
Description: long non-coding RNA (PDAC_LNC005966)
Source: RNAcentral
GAGUUGUAUGUAAGGCUUGAUUGCUUCCGACUACAAGCCAAAGCAAUCAUAAAAGAAAAUUAUGAUUAAUUCCCAGCAUGAAUCAUCUAAGUCUAGCACAAACCAUCUACUCUAACGAUAAGCAUGACCUGUCUAACCUAGCAUGAUGCAUCUGAUCAUUAAAUCAUUAAACAUGAAAUCGAUGUCACAUGAAUAUCUCCUCCAAACUACAGGUGUUGGAUUCGAUGAAAUAGAUCAAUCUAUAUAAAAUAUUUUAUGCAAGAUAAAUAAUUCAUAUAAAUUGGAUAAAUCAUAAAGAUCAAUUGAUAAAUUCUUUAUCAUGCAACACUCUUACAAUACAAACUCAAAUCAAUAAAAAUGAAACGAAUACUCCUCUAUGGCUUCAUCAAACCCCUAAACCGAGGCUCAGCUGCUCAUGGUGCUUGUCAUCUCCAUUGGUUGGCUGAAGAACUCCUUUGCCAUCCGCCUCAAACCCUCUCUCUUUUUUUUUAUUCUUUUUUUUUUGGUUUUCUUUUUCUCUUCAAAACAGAGCAAGCUCUGUUUUUUUCUUGGAACCGUGUUCUCCCCCACCGAACG